UACAGAGGUCUCAAGCGUUGUUCGGAUUCAUUGGGCGUAAAGGGUGUGUAGGUGGCGCGCUAAGUCGGGUGUGAAAUUUCGGAGCUUAACUCCGAAAUUGCAUUCGAUACUGCCGUGCUCGAGGACUGGAGAGGAGACUGGAAUUCAUGGUGUAGCAGUGAAAUGCGUAGAGAUCAUGAGGAAGACCAGUGGCGAAGGCGGGUCUCUGGACAGUUCCUGACACUGAGGCACGAAGGCCAGGGGAGCAAACGGG
RNAcentral lists this ribosomal RNA (253 nucleotides) under uncultured bacterium. RNAcentral describes it as "partial 16S ribosomal RNA". It matches the Rfam family "Bacterial small subunit ribosomal RNA", at positions 524 to 776 of the family's 1533-position model. The record is from RNAcentral.